UACGAAGGUGGCAAGCGUUGUUCGGAUUUACUGGGCGUAAAGGGUGCGCAGGCGGUUCUGCAAGUCAGGCGUGAAAUCCCCGGGCUUAACCUGGGAAUGGCGCUUGAAACUACGGGACUGGAGUAUGGCAGAGGGAGGUGGAAUUCCACGUGUAGCGGUGAAAUGCGUAGAGAUGUGGAGGAACACCGAUGGCGAAGGCAGCCUCCUGGGCCAAUACUGACGCUCAUGCACGAAAGCGUGGGGAGCAAACAGG
This 253-nucleotide ribosomal RNA is filed under the name uncultured bacterium. Its description in RNAcentral is "partial 16S ribosomal RNA". It matches the Rfam family "Bacterial small subunit ribosomal RNA", at positions 524 to 776 of the family's 1533-position model. The record is from RNAcentral.